This 241-nucleotide ribosomal RNA is filed under the name uncultured bacterium. Its description in RNAcentral is "partial 16S ribosomal RNA". It matches the Rfam family "Bacterial small subunit ribosomal RNA", at positions 524 to 763 of the family's 1533-position model. The record is from RNAcentral.
UACGGGGGGAGCAAGCGUUGUUCGGAUUUACUGGGCGUAAAGGGCGCGUAGGCGGUCAGCACAAGUCAGUUGUGAAAUCUCCGGGCUUAACUCGGAAAGGUCAACUGAUACUGUGCGACUAGAGUGCGGAAGGGGCAACUGGAAUUCUCGGUGUAGCGGUGAAAUGCGUAGAUAUCGAGAGGAACACCUGCGGCGAAGGCGGGUUGCUGGGCCGACACUGACGCUGAUGCGCGAAAGCCAG